UUCCAUAUAGUGUAGUGGUUUAGCAUUCCAGAUUUUCAUUCUGGCGACCCGGGUUCGAACCCCGGUAUGGAAA
RNAcentral lists this transfer RNA (73 nucleotides) under Chaetomium globosum CBS 148.51. Its description in RNAcentral is "tRNA-Glu (TTC) (tRNA-Glu-TTC-4-1)". It matches the Rfam family "tRNA". From Rfam's summary of the family: Transfer RNA (tRNA) molecules are approximately 80 nucleotides in length. Their secondary structure includes four short double-helical elements and three loops (D, anti-codon, and T loops). The record is from RNAcentral. Lineage: Eukaryota; Fungi; Ascomycota; Sordariomycetes; Sordariales; Chaetomiaceae.